Molecule: ribosomal RNA, 269 nt
Filed under: uncultured prokaryote
Description: partial 16S ribosomal RNA
Rfam family: Bacterial small subunit ribosomal RNA
Source: RNAcentral
CACGAACUGCGCGAACGUUAUUCGGAAUUACUGGGCUUAAAGGGUGCGUAGGCGGCGAUGUAGGUGGGGUGUGAAAUCCCUCGGCUCAACCGAGGAACUGCGCUCCAAACCACAUUGCUUGAGAGAGUCAGAGGUAAGCGGAACUGAUGGUGGAGCGGUGAAAUGCGUUGAUAUUAUCAGGAACACCGGUGGCGAAAGCGGCUUACUGGGACUUUUCUGACGCUGAGGCACGAAAGCUAGGGGAGCGAACGGGAUUAGAUACCCCCGUA